AAAUCGCUUGAACCCGGGAGGCGGAGCUUGCUGUGAGCCGAGAUUGCACCACUGCACCCCCGCCUGGGCAACAGAG
Molecule: small nuclear RNA, 76 nt
Filed under: Homo sapiens (human)
Lineage: Eukaryota; Metazoa; Chordata; Mammalia; Primates; Hominidae
Description: partial ncRNA
Source: RNAcentral